Molecule: long non-coding RNA, 321 nt
Filed under: Pan troglodytes (chimpanzee)
Lineage: Eukaryota; Metazoa; Chordata; Mammalia; Primates; Hominidae
Description: lincRNA
Source: RNAcentral
CUCUGUUCACGGAAAGGGCCUGGGAGCUGCAACACCUCAACAGCAACAAGCACACCUGCUACCUAGAACUUGGUUUCUAAAAACCAUCCUCCUCUAAAAGGAAACAGAGCUCUUUGAAGAAAUGGUAAUUUCAAAGCUAGAGCACAGAAAGUAUAAGAUGAGCCCAGAAUAUCUUUUUGUACAAGAAAGUAAGGCAAUGCUCAAAGAAUGAUGGAGACAUGCCCAAAAAAAGCAGAGAAGCCAACUUGAAAAGAUUCCAACAGGCCAAAUAUGGGACAAUUUGAACAUCAGAAUAAAAUGGUGACAGUCACAGAAUUAUAA